GAGGUCAAACAGACCCCAUAACGUGGUUCGCGGUUUGGAGUGUAGUCUGCAACUCGACUACAUGAAGCUGGAAUCGCUAGUAAUCGUAGAUCAGCAUGCUACGGUGAAUACGUUCCCGGGUCUUGUACACACCGCCCGUCACACCACGAGAGUUUGUAACACCCGAAGCCGGUGGAGUAACCUUUUAGGAGCUAGCCGUCGAAGGUGGGACAAAUGAUUGGGGUGAAGUCGUAACAAGGUAGCCGUAUCGGAAGGUGCGGCUGGAUCACCUCCUUUCUAAGGA
This 283-nucleotide ribosomal RNA is filed under the name Staphylococcus aureus. RNAcentral's name for it is "partial 16S ribosomal RNA". It matches the Rfam family "Bacterial small subunit ribosomal RNA", at positions 1259 to 1533 of the family's 1533-position model. The record is from RNAcentral. Lineage: Bacteria; Bacillati; Bacillota; Bacilli; Caryophanales; Staphylococcaceae.